This 61-nucleotide transfer RNA is filed under the name Fukomys damarensis (Damara mole-rat). It matches the Rfam family "tRNA", at positions 6 to 65 of the family's 71-position model. From Rfam's summary of the family: Transfer RNA (tRNA) molecules are approximately 80 nucleotides in length. Lineage: Eukaryota; Metazoa; Chordata; Mammalia; Rodentia; Bathyergidae. The record is from Rfam by way of RNAcentral.
UGUAGCUCAGCAGCACAGCACCUGCCUAGCAAGCAUGAGGUCCUGGGUUCAAUCCCCAGUA